GACGAACGCUGGCGGCGUGCUUAACACAUGCAAGUCGAACGGAAAGGCCCUGCUUUUGUGGGGUGCUCGAGUGGCGAACGGGUGAGUAACACGUGAGUAACCUGCCCUUGACUUUGGGAUAACUUCAGGAAACUGGGGCUAAUACCGGAUAGGAGCUCCUGCUGCAUGGUGGGGGUUGGAAAGUUUCGGCGGUUGGGGAUGGACUCGCGGCUUAUCAGCUUGUUGGUGGGGUAGUGGCUGACCAAGGCUUUGACGGGUAGCCGGCCUGAGAGGGUGACCGGCCACCUUGGGCCUGAGAUACGGCCCAGACUCCUACGGGAGGCAGCAGUGGGAAAUAUUGCACAAUGGGCGGAAGCCUGAUGCAGCGACGCCGCGUGCGUGAUGACGGCCUUCGGGUUGUAAACCGCUUUCGCCUGUGACGAAGCGUGAGUGACGGUAAUGGGUAAAGAAGCACCGGCUAACUACGUG
RNAcentral lists this ribosomal RNA (468 nucleotides) under uncultured bacterium. RNAcentral's name for it is "partial 16S ribosomal RNA". It matches the Rfam family "Bacterial small subunit ribosomal RNA", at positions 28 to 507 of the family's 1533-position model. The record is from RNAcentral.